CGCAGGACACUUAAGGUAACGAAUGAACUCGGUAUGAUAAUGAGAUCAUAAUGAGCUGAUACGUCAUGACAGUUGCCCCGCCUUGAUCAAUCCAUAUUUGGAUACAUAUACACAAACUCUAUUUUUGGGAUCAUAUAAAAAUAUAUCGGAAUAUUGCCUUUAUUCUACGCUUAGAAUUAGUCAAAUUUCCCGGAUUUGACAACACAUCACAAGGCAUUAUGAUAAGAAAUACCCUGGUGAAGUUUGUCGUAUGGUUGGAAUCAGCGUCUAAAAUACGCUUACUAGGCACAUGGCAAAGACGACGUUCAGAAGAUGUCAGCUGUAUAACUUUGAAAUCGGAAAAAACAAGGUAAAUUCUUGUAAUUGAAAUAAUGAUGUAUGAAUACCUGAAACCAAGGUUGUCAACAAUGAAAGUAGAGAACAUUUACUGUGUUUUAUACAUUGACUCAAUACUUUAGAGGUAGUAUAUACAUAGUUUGAUGUUCUUUGUUUACAUACUGCAUACGUCACACGUAGCAUUAAGUGCACACACGCAAGAUACAUAUGCUAGAGAACUGAUGCUCAAAUGGUACCAGUUGUUUGUUUUUUUUAAUUCAUAUUCACACGAUUUGCAUGAAUACAGGCGGGUAUCUAGGCAGUAAAUUCCACAAGAAUGGACACUACCCCCCCCCUUCUUUUGAUUUUUUUUGCGAUAAUUUCUCACACGUAGCCGAUGUGUAGCGUAUUGGGUGCACACACGCAAAAUAUGUCUAUAAGUUAGAAAAUGACGCUCAAAUGGUACCAGUUGUUGUUUGUUUAUAUAAACAUGAGUACAGGCGGGUAUCUAGGCAGUAAACUCCACAGGCACCUAAAGUAUGGAUAUUACAUGACCCCCCCCCCCCCCACACACACUCUUUUGAUUUUUUUUUUCUUGCUAUACUUUCUCUGAAAUAAGUCGAUUUCCUGUCAAUCUCAUCCUUCUUUCGAUUCAUGUAAUCCUUUCACGAUUUUUGUAAGCUUCUACCGGUAUGAUUUAAUUUAUUUAUUGAUUCACCAAGCAUGUUGGCAUACAAUCAUGUUACACAAUGAUGAGAUAUGUAUAAUGAUGACAAACUAAAUACUAAAAGUUCAUAUGCAUAUAUGUAAAAACGCGUAUAUAUAUUUGGCAUGUACAUAUGACAUCUAACUGUAUAUAUAAUUCAGUAUUGCAAGUAUAACAACCUAUGAUUUAUUACAAAAUUUGUGCUCAAUUUUUUUAUACCCUACAAGGCCACUCUCUAAAGCUUACAAAAAGUGUGAAACGAUUACAGUACUUUUAAAAAUCGAAAGAGAAAUGAGUUCGACAGGGAAUCAAGACAUUUCAGAAUUAUCGCUGCAAAAAAUAUUUUCAAAAAGGGGGGGGGGGGGCUAGUAUCAGUGCAUCAGGUACCUGUGGUAAUAUCUUGUACAAACGCACGUGUAACGACAUUAAUUUUCAUGCUCUAGAUUUACAGUCACAUUUAAUUUUAUCAAGUGACAUACAAAAACAAAAAAAAAUAAACUUGGGAUAUUUUUGCUUACAUUGCAGUUUGAAUAAAUGGAAGAAAAAUAAAAGACUUUGAAUGCAUACUGAUUGCCCACAUUUUUUAUGUGUAUUUGAGACCCUUCUCCAAUACAUUGAAUGUUUGCAGCAUAUGUAUUUAUAAUAUGAGAUAAUGCUAUUUACAGAUGUGCAUGAUACCAACAAGAAUAUGAACUUUUACAAGAGCAUAUUUCCAAUUUUCCACAUCUCUAGAGCAGUGGCAACAAAUGUACAUACAAGUACCCACAGAUGACAGCCAUAUUGACUCCAGUGGAUAAUAUUUACCUCCAUCAGCUGGUUACUACACUGUACAUAGUGGUCAAACCAGGAUAUCCACUAAUUGCUUUCAGUGAUGUGAAUUGUCAUCUACAUUUGUGCUUAGGAACUUUAGUAAACUGUCAAGUUUUAAUAUGAAGAAAAUGACUGCUGAAAAAGCAUCUAAUCUUGUGUUCUAUGAAUGUUUUCAAUUAAACACAAAACAAAAUGAGAAA
Ostrea edulis (European flat oyster) is the source of this 2031-nucleotide long non-coding RNA. RefSeq lists it as uncharacterized. NCBI's taxonomy places the organism in Eukaryota, Metazoa, Mollusca, Bivalvia, Ostreida, Ostreidae. The record is from RefSeq and is a predicted model, not a curated record. The transcript has 2 exons.